RNAcentral lists this ribosomal RNA (429 nucleotides) under Chloroflexota bacterium. RNAcentral describes it as "Chloroflexi bacterium partial 16S ribosomal RNA". It matches the Rfam family "Bacterial small subunit ribosomal RNA", at positions 355 to 776 of the family's 1533-position model. Lineage: Bacteria; Bacillati; Chloroflexota. The record is from RNAcentral.
UGGGGAAUAUUGCACAAUGGGCGCAAGCCUGAUGCUGCCAUGCCGCGUGUAUGAAGAAGGCCUUCGGGUUGUAAAGUACUUUCAGCGGGGAGGAAGGGAGUAAAGUUAAUACCUUUGCUCAUUGACGUUACCCGCAGAAGAAGCACCGGCUAACUCCGUGCCAGCAGCCGCGGUAAUACGGAGGGUGCAAGCGUUAAUCGGAAUUACUGGGCGUAAAGCGCACGCAGGCGGUUUGUUAAGUCAGAUGUGAAAUCCCCGGGCUCAACCUGGGAACUGCAUCUGAUACUGGCAAGCUUGAGUCUCGUAGAGGGGGGUAGAAUUCCAGGUGUAGCGGUGAAAUGCGUAGAGAUCUGGAGGAAUACCGGUGGCGAAGGCGGCCCCCUGGACGAAGACUGACGCUCAGGUGCGAAAGCGUGGGGAGCAAACAGG